Paramuricea clavata is the source of this 95-nucleotide non-coding RNA. NCBI's taxonomy places the organism in Eukaryota, Metazoa, Cnidaria, Anthozoa, Malacalcyonacea, Plexauridae. The record is from the annotation of a GenBank genome assembly.
UCAGCAAGUACCGUAAACAGAAGCAGUCACCCCCUGGACGUGUGUCAUUUUGAAUAUUUCCAGGGGGGACUGCUUCUGUUUACGGUACUUGCUGA